AUGGAUCGUCCCAUAUCGUGGGAUCAUGCCCCAUAGCCCAAAGAUUCACCAUCACUAAAGAAUUCUUUGGAAUUGUGUAGUUCAUAACCUCACACGUGGAAUUUGCAGAAUGUGGAAGAAAUGCUAUAGGAGGGUGGAGUCUUAAGGUUUCUUUGAUGCAAGCAUUCAAAUAUGGAAGUUUAGAAAGAUUGGAUUCUUUGAUGGAGUUGGAGUUCAUUUCACCUUCAAGUUCUUCACGGAGUUUGGCCAUGGCUUCUUUGUUCUUGAGCAGCUCAGCCAUGGCCCAUUCACUUGUUGCAACUAAAGUCCCUGCCCCCGCUGGAAGUAUCUCCUACAACAAAAUCAAUCAAAAGAUUAAACCAAAUAACUUGCUCAAUUAAUAUUCUCAUUCAAAUUUAAGUACUUCCACGUUGGCACCGCAACAAAUCUCUCAUGGAAAAUACACACGCGCAUGAUACGACCGAUUCUUGAAUGAACAUGGCCAACUGGACAAUACACAUGCCCAUUGUCGACUGGGUUGGUCAUUUUUCUUUCGCAUUCCCACUGAAGUUGAAUGCUGAUAGCUAAAUUUUGGUGGGUUCUACAGUGAUUUUUCUUUCGUGUUCCUACUUAAGUUGAAUUAUGGUAACUAACAUUUAGUCAAACAUACUCAAACAUCACUUACCAAAAGCAUGUAGAGCAUUUGGACAUCUGAAAAUCCAUUUGCCAUCAUAAAAUCCAAGAAAUCCCCAUGAUUAAUCACAUCAUCACUGCCAUUCUCCAUUCUUCUCUGCUUUAUUAAAUCUCCCCACACUCCAAACAUUUUAUCCAUACAUUUCUUGGAUUUCUUCUGCUGCCCAAGAGGAUCCAAUUUCAGCCCUUCAAGGAAAGGGAAAAAAUCUGCUACAAUUGGUGUAGUAGCACACUCCAUGAACCUCCACAUAAUCACUCUCCAAUCACUUCCCAUUUUCUCAUCAUUAAAAUCAAUCAAAUCCUUCGAAAAACAAAUAUUUCCCAAAGUAUUGUAAACAGUUGUAAACACAGUAUCCCUUAUUGUCAAAAUUGAACCUUCCUUAUUACGCAAAAAUUCCAUCAUUUGUUCCAUCUUUUUUGCUCUAAUUUCAGCCUGCAAAUCCAAUGCUUUGUUCGAAAAAAACUCCGAUUUCCACAAAACCCUAAUCGAUUUCCAGUGGGGGUGGCAAUCUGUUGCCCAUAACAGAGAAAAUUUCUUCAAAUCAGACUCUUCAAUCGGAGUUGCUUUUGGAGCAUAGCGCGCCGACAAUUCACGGUCGUGGGUUUUAAGAAUCUCCACCGCCGCAGCCGGCGAAGACCCAAAAACGACAGCCCGAGUCCCCAUCCUUAAAGACAUCAAAGGCCCAUAUUUUUUUGCUAAAUUUGAGACUAAAACAUGCGGUUUUGUUCCUAUAACAUGCGGUAUGUUGCCUAUGAUAGGCCAUGGAAAUGGCCCCGGCGGAAGAAUUUUGCGUUUGAAUGACACAGAUUGAAGAAUAAGAAAGAUUAAAGUGGGUAGAAGGAGAGUAAGGAGAAUGGGAAAUCGAUUGAAAUCAGUAAAUGAUGAGAAAUCCAUGGAUUAUAUGCAAGAAAAAUUACACGAUGAUUUAAAAGUACUAACAUAAGCAAUUAGAUUGAGAGAUGUGAUUCAGCUGCCUGCUUCAAGGGAUAAAUUUUACAGAAGUAAUUCAAUCUGGGGUUAAAUCGUAUAAUGAUUUACAAGUUCAGAUUGUCAUUUUCGAAUUUUUCCGUUACUUUACGUUAAACAGAAGGAAUCUUUAAGUUCCAAGUACAUUGUUUUCAUGUUUUAUUAUUGGGAUAAAAUAAUAACUACCACACACUGCUCUACGACUUUUUCAAAGAAUGCAUCUUUCUCAUGAAAAAUCAGUAUAUAUUUACCUCAAUUUAUAAUUUUACGAUAUAUUAUUUAAAAAUUUAAAACAAACAUUUUUCAAGAAUCACAAGAUAAGGUAAUGUAAAUGUUAUCGUACUACUCGGAAAUAUUAUCAAAUUUUUUUAAUUUUUAUUAAAAAUAGUAUUUUUUUUGGAACGUUUAUGUUACCAUAUAUUUUGGAAAAACCAAUCAACUAAUAAUAUUAAGGUAACACCUAGGGGCGGAUCCACAUGAGGUCAUGUGGGGGUCAAAUGACCCCACAAAAUUUUGGAUUUUUUUUUUAUUUAUUUAAAGAAAAUGGUUGUUUUAACCCGUUUUCGACCCACUUUAAUAUAUACUAAAUGCAAUUGAAAUAUUGCAUUCUUAAUAUUAUUUCUAGCUAGUCACCGUCUAGUUUUUCGCUUCUUAAUUGUGUGCGAAAUGAUCAACCAUAUCAAAAAUUACGAUGUAUCAAAAUAGACCAUUUCAAAUUAGUAUUUCGAAAAUUUCGAUAAAAUGCUAACUUUUAAAAUUUGCCGAUGAUCGUAUACUAUCCAAAUCUACAAAUCGCUUUCAUCAUCUAGAAAUUCGUUUCGAAAACUACAUCGUAGUCAUAUCGAAUGAUCCAAACAGAUAUCGAAAAUAGUUAAAUAUGCGUCAAACGUACGUAUUAAAACAGGCGUUUAACUCGUCUUUUAAAAAAAAAAUCAAUUAUUUUAUUAACUUUAUCAUUUUUUCACUAUAAAUUUUUCAAUAUAAUUUACAUCAUUUUAUUAGGAAAUUUUACAUUAAAAAUAAUGUCAAAAAUUCUAAAGUCGUUACGGAUUAAAUGUAAUUUGAAUUACUUUCAAAUUAUUUUUUCGUUAAACUUAAAUUUCAUUUACUUCGUACAUCCAAUUUAAUUUACUCGUCGUUAGCUCAACAUCCAUAAAUGACAUGGUAAACAAACUAUACAUGUAGCAAAAUUCAUUUAACAAUACUGAUAAUGAUAGAAUUAUAAGACACUUUCAAGAUGUCAAAAUGCGUAUUAACUUAUUUUUAUAAAUAUUAUAUUGUUUUAAAAAAUUACACAUUAAUUUUUGGAGCUAAGCACAACACGCGAGGAUGACCUUGCAAGUGACCGCGCCCUCACAUUCCCGACGGGGUCCUCAUGAAUAAAAUAAUUUCAACCCCAUGUGUGUUUGUGUUAUGUCAACUUCGCGAUCAUUCAUGUGAGCACUGUAGCACGAUUCUAAUUUUUGACCCCACAACCUAAAACGACUGGGUUCGCCCCUGGUAACGCAUGUUUACUUGUAAGAUAAUGCAUGUGUUAUCAUCAUCGUAAUUCGAAAUAUCCUAGCAAAAAAUAACCUGGGCAGUGCAAAUCAGCACCUUUAUCAACAACUUCGCCAUCAUGAUCUGAACAUUAUUACCUUCUUCCAAAUACCACGAAGACAUUAACAUUAAGAUAACAUUCCAGUUACUCGUAGGAUAACACGCGUUAUCAUCACCAUAACUCCACAUAUUCUAGCAAAAAAGUAAAAAAUAAAAAAUAAAAUAAAUAAAUAAUAAUAAUAAAAUUGAAACACUGCCAAUAAGUGUUCUCCACCACCAUGAUUGAAAUCAAGCUCUCAAACGCUAUCACCAUCUUUCAAAUUCCACCAUAUCAUCAUCAACGUUAAGGUAAUAUAUGUGUUACUUCUAAGAUAACACGUGUGUUACCACCACUAUAACUCGACAUAUCCUAGCAAAAAUAACUCAAAACACUGUCAAUGGACACCUUCCAUAACCACCACUGCUAGUAGCCAGCUGCGAAAUCUUGGUGUGACCAAAUUUUACAAAAUUUCCUUGGAUUAAAAAAACUACAUAAAUUCGUGUUCGUUUCCUAGGAUUAAAAAAACUACAUAAAUUCGUGUUGGUUUCCUAUUCUGAAAUCCAUUAUAGAUGUGUAUAGCCUAAAACUUUAUGGUUAACCACUAGCCGUCAAUUGUCAACAUGAUUACCCGCCCAGAAAUAGAGAGAGCAAAAAAAUCCAUUCAACCCAAUAUCCGUGAUGUCCUGUCCCGAAUGGGAUGGGUGAUACCCGCCUAACUGAGUACAUGAGAUGGGUAUGGAACGAGGGUCAUUGCCCUGAAGCGAGUAUGGGACGGGUACGGAAAACAUAGUCCUUGUCCCAUUACCCACCCCGUUUAAUAUUAAUUUCAAAUUUAAGUUCUUAUCAAACAAAAAUAAUAGAUUUAUCAUCAUUUUUAAAAAGAAGAUAAGUUGUUUUUAAUAAAUUGGUAAAAAAGUAAUACUAUUUACUAACUAAAGACAUAAAAAAUAAAAGAAAAAGAAAAAAUAAAUGGGGUGAUAAAUGAGGUAGGAGACUUGCCCCGUCUCAAACCCGCUCCAUCCCGCUUUAACAGGGUAUAAGUAUGGGAUAAGAUAACAAAAAUACCCGACAAGACGGGUGGGAAUGGCCAACCCGUCCUAUACUCGUCCCGUUGUCAUCCCUAUCCAGCAACCACCUCCAUCACAUAGAGCUGGCGACGUCCACGGUCCAUCUCCAUCUAAGCAUCUCAAUAUGUUUGAUUUUUUAAAAUAAGGUAAAAUAAAAUUUAAAAUUUAAAAAAAUAUUUGAAAAAUUGUUCGGAGACGAUGCAAGGAGUUGCGGGUCAUCAUCGCCAUUGAUGCUGGAGAAGAAAAUUUUUCGUGGUGAUGGCAAUGGCGAAGUUCGUAGAUGAAAGCAGUAAGUAGUGUGUGGUGGAGUCAUGAUGGCAGAGUUAGUCCCAUAGCUUGGGUAGGUGUGGUGAUGGUUGGUGUUUGUGUAGCGACGAAGGAUGGCAGUGACGUGGUCACGUGGGAUAAACGUGCUUGGAUGGAAAAAGGUUUUAAAAUUAGGUUUAACUAACAUAAUGUAAAUUUGACAAGUUUUGAUUCAAAACUAAGAACUUGUUUGGUAGGGAUUUUAAUCCAAUUAAAAUCAAUUUUUUGACCGUUAUUUCAUUAUUUCAGCCGUUAUUUUUGAAUUCUUCUCUUACAGGUAGAACCCACUUUAUUUCUAACAGUAAAAAAAUCAAUUAUUAGAAUCCCUACCAAACAAGCACUAAAAUGGUAGUUAUCAUCAAGAAUUAUAUAAAUAUAACCAAACCUUUAUUUUAUUGGUUUUGUCAAAGUAUUAAUUUUUUUUGUAACAUAUUCUAUUUUUUUUUUCCAAUUUCACUUGUUGAAAUAUGCUUUAAAAUCACGAUUCGGAAAUUUGUAUCUAUUAAAUAGCAAAAUAUAAUCAAUAUAUAACAACUUCCAAAAAAACUCAAAAUUAAAGCUUGGAUUCUAUUAAAAUCAACAGUAUCGAAAUAUUUUCAAGCCCUUGUUUGAGUCCCAUUUUGAGGAAAAAUGCAUUGUUGAAUGGACAAUGCUAUAUAUACAUAACAGUUAACACAUUGGUUUACACCUUGGUGAGUUGAUAGGUUUUGGUGCAUUGAUUUUAACACUUCACCUUUUUCAAUACAUAGCUAGAUUUUUGACACAUAAUGAAGUGUCACUUUAAGUUGUAGAAAACGGGUGUACAAGUAGAUUGAUCCUUUUUGAAUGAAUAGUGCAUUGAUAAAAAAUGUGUGACUAAAAAAUAAGAAAUUUUUUUUGGAUUUGAGUGUAAUAUUAUUUUAAGAAAAAAAUGUGCAAUUAAAAUAAUGUCAAAACACUAUUUAAGAAUGAAUUUUUUUUAGAGACCAACCAAAUCAAAACCAGAAAACCAUCUAGCUGCUUGACUGACAAGCUACAUUUCUCUUGACAGCCAAAAUGACACUAAGUCGAACUAAUUUUGGGCUCACUAACUUUGAAAUAUAUGAGCCUUUGAGCGCACCAAAGACCAAUUGGGCUUCAUCUUGAACCCAGACCGAAAAAAUUUUCUUCAUCAAUAACAUUGUUUAUAUAUUUAAGAUACAUAAUUUACAUAUUUACGCUCUUAGGCCUCGUUUGGGAGUGAUUUUUCACCUUAAAAAAUUAAUUUUUUGACCGUUAUUUUACUAUUUUAGUCGCAAUUUUUGACUUCUUCUCUCACAUGUGUCCCUCACUUUUCUCAUAGCAGUCUAAAAAUCAAUUCUCAAAAUCACUACCGAACAGAUCCUUAAUAGAUAUCUUCUAUCAUGAAAGAAUUAUGCUGAAUGUAUAGUAAUCAAAACCAGAAAACCAUCUGGCUGCUUGACCGACGAGCUACAUUUCUCUUGACAGUCAAAAUGAUACUACGUCAAACAAAUUUUCGGCUCACUAACUUUCAAAUAUAUGAGCCUUUGAGCGCACCGAAGACCAAUUGGACUUCAUCUUGAACCUAGACCAAAGAAAUUUUCUUCAUCAAUAACAUCGUUUACAUAUUUAAGAUACAUAAUUUACAUAUUUACGCUCUUAAGAUCAUGAAAGAAUUAUGCUGAAUGUACAACAAUCAAAACUAGAAAACCAUUUGGCUGCUUGACUGACAAAUUACAUUUCUCUUAACAGUCAAAAUGACACUACAUCGAACUAAUUUUGGGCUCACUAACUUUGAAAUAUAUGAGCCUUCCAAUUAGGCUUCAUCCUGAACCCAGACCGAAGAAAUUUUCUUCAUCAAUAACAUUGUUUAUAUAUUUAAGAUACAUAAUUUACAUAUUCACAUUCUUAAUAGAUAUCCAGCUUGAUAGCCCACUCACGUGAGUAGGCCAGCGAUCAUUUGUGAAAGAUGGUUUAAAAAUUAGUGUACUUGUAACAUAAUUCAUCAUGAAAUCAGGCUGUAAUAAGAUGUGGAUCUUUACAAUUAGAUUACACUUCUAAGGGAUAUACUUAGUGGGACCUUUAUAAAUGUACAAGUAGUAAAACGUCCACUUAAAUCACAUCAUCUCAAAUACCGGUGAGUAGGUCUUAACAGUUGUGCAUAACACUCACAUUUAUUUUAUAGAAACAAACAAGCUUCAAAUUAUAUUAACAUCUCCUGGACGGAAUUAGCAGCAACGGCUUCUUCAUCUGCAAUGGCACUGCAUAUUUUUCAUCCAUGUCUAUCUGCCUAUCAUUUGGAAGAGACCAUUUAAAUUAACAUAUCAAAGAAGCCAAAAUUAACUGCAAUUGCCUGUGAGCAUAUGGUAAACCUGGGCACAUUCUUCUUCCACCACCAAAUGGCAAAAACUCAAAAUGUUGCCCUUUAAACUCCAAAUUCGAGUUCAAAAAUCGCUCUGGCAUAAACGAUAAUGGAUCGUCCCAUAUCGUGGGAUCAUGCCCCAUAGCCCAAAGAUUCACCAUCACUAAAGAAUUCUUUGGAAUUGUGUAGUUCAUAACCUCACACGUGGAAUUUGCAGAAUGUGGAAGAAAUGCUAUAGGAGGGUGGAGUCUUAAGGUUUCUUUGAUGCAAGCAUUCAAAUAUGGAAGUUUAGAAAGAUUGGAUUCUUUGAUGGAGUUGGAGUUCAUUUCACCUUCAAGUUCUUCACGGAGUUUGGCCAUGGCUUCUUUGUUCUUGAGCAGCUCAGCCAUGGCCCAUUCACUUG
RNAcentral lists this long non-coding RNA (7335 nucleotides) under Olea europaea (common olive). RNAcentral's name for it is "long non-coding RNA (OEUR_LNC004459)". Lineage: Eukaryota; Viridiplantae; Streptophyta; Magnoliopsida; Lamiales; Oleaceae. The record is from RNAcentral.